Molecule: long non-coding RNA, 1965 nt
Filed under: Struthio camelus australis
Lineage: Eukaryota; Metazoa; Chordata; Aves; Struthioniformes; Struthionidae
Description: lncRNA (ENSSCUG00000005763.1)
Source: RNAcentral
GGGUAGGUUGCCUCGCUUGUUGGCUUUGGCAGGUUUGCAGCCCUCUUGGGCGUUAAGGCCGUUAGCGUCCUCCAGCAAAACAGCGUGAUGGGCGCCUCCAGGAAAAGGUUGAUUUUUGUGCUGCAAUUAUCAGACAUGAAACUGAGGGAGAAGGUGCCCAGAGGCACAAAAACAUCGAGUUGCAGGUGAGUCUUGUGAUUCAAGCUCUCAGCUGGACGCAUUUGAUUUGUCCUUCACACCUCACUUACAAACACACCUCCUUCACAAACUUUCCACCACUUCUCCCUUAUACCUCUCUUCUCAGCUACUCCAUCUCUCCCCAAAAGUUAGCUACAGAUGUUUCCCACUGGCUCUCUUCUGCUGCUCCUCCUCAUUUUAGCAUCUCCUUGGGAGCCAGGAAGCACUUGGCAGGAAAAGUCACCAAAAGCUUCUCUCAUUCCAUUUUCAGAGGUGAGGGAAGCAACCCAGUCGUCCUCAGCCAGGAUGCCUUUCAUUCUUCAUUCCCCUGGAGAGAAAAACUGAACUACUUCCACGGCUAUACAUUAUCGCAGUCAGAUCAGGAAAAAAACCUUACUGAUUGGACUGGGCAGGCAACAGCCAAAAGGCCAAAUACCUCCCACCAGAACAAUCCACUGAUCCAAGCCUGUUUCUUGAGACUCUCCCUCCCUUCAUGGCCUCACGAUUGUUUCCCCUGUCACGAAGGACAGGAUGUGCGUUCAAUCACUUCAGAGAAGUGCAGGUCCCCUGUUGUAGGACUGCGCAUCCAGUCACAUGCACAGACGUGCACAAGCACAUCAGAGCAAGGGACUGGGGACCGCAGAGCCCAAUUAAUGACCAAACGUGCGUUAGUCACGCGCUGGAAGACAGCUGCACGUCGGUCAUAUCACAGACCACAGCUGCCUCCACGGGGGCUUAGCGAUCUGACUGCUGUGGAAAGUUCAGAGCAGAUUUUCAGAGCUCAGUGAACACCCACAGUUAAAUUAGGGAUAUGAAGACACAUAAUGAAUAGCGUACAAAUAUUAAAAUGCUACAACAUAAAGAAAACAUACAGCCUCACCUGUGCACCAGUAGGGAUAAGUGGCACAUGGGGUGUGCGAAACAAGCCCAGGAUUUACAAUUACAGUACAAGCAUACCUUACCUGACUCUGGGGACAAAGCUGGCUGGGGGGGGGAGCAGUACGGCUGUCUCAGGAAGGAAAAAGUGAAGUCCUGGCCAGCUGGAAGAAGCAGAGCAAGGAGGCAGCUGCUGGCAGUCUUGGAAAGCCACCGAAGAUGGCCAGAAGGUAGGAUGGGAUCUUCUAGAGACUCAUGGGCCUCUGUUUUCCAUCCCCACCCCUCCAGGAAGUCUGAGGCAAGGCAGAUGCCAGGGACAGCUACACUUUCCCACAGACGGUAGAAGACCUUCCCAAGAGAUGAUUUGGCAAACUGAAUUCUCACAGUAUGCUCAGGUAUGUCUCAGCAAAGUUAGUGGAAGAGCUGACUAUGUCUAAGAAUACUUCUGUGUGCAUUUCUACUCUGAAGACCUGUGGGGAUCUAAAGGCAGGGGAACUUUUCCCUUGACUUCAGCUGGUCUUGGAUGAAAGCCCCAAGAAAUACACAGUAAUCCAACAUGGUGAAAUUAUGAAAUACGUUACAGAAUACUCAUAUUUUCUUAGUAUCAAAAGAGAAGCCGUUAUGUAAUACUUGCUACUGUAGGGGAACGGGAAUGUCUGCUUAGUUCAUGAUUACAGGGUAAGUAGUAGCAAGUUAAUGUUUAACUAUGUUGUUGUAAUUUUGUUCCAUCCCUCAAGACUCUUAAAAAAAAACAGUGGAAAAAGUCUGGAGUGGUUUUAUUACAUGACACGCAAAUACCACCCUAUGAUCCAAUUUGCAGCCCUUCAAAAUGAGGAAAUUGGUGCUUUGCAAAGCAGGGCGUCUGACAUUCUGUAAGUUAAAGGACAGAGGUCCGGUUUCCCCGUGUCCCAU